UUUGACCUUUAAUUCUUGCUCUAACCUGUAUCAAGAAGUUGUUUCCAAGUGUAAAAUUCUUCAUGGCAGGUUUUCUUCUACUCCCUGGCUUUGCAGUCCUCAUUUUCAGACUAUCUUUUUGCAGUUCUUUGAAAGAGUACCUGCUUGCAAUUAUCAAAGACAGAUAUUUAAAACAUCUGAUGGUGGGACAAUAGCUCUGGAUUGGCUACGGAAUGUGGAUGAUAAAAAACCAUCCAUCAAAGGUUUUGAUGGAGUUCAGAGUGAUGAUAAAAGUCCCAUCAUGCUAGUGAUUCCUGGUUUAACAAGUGACUCUGAUUCUGCUUACAUUAAGCAUCUUACUUUCAAGAUGGCCAAACGUG
This 359-nucleotide unclassified non-coding RNA is filed under the name Hevea brasiliensis (rubber tree). Lineage: Eukaryota; Viridiplantae; Streptophyta; Magnoliopsida; Malpighiales; Euphorbiaceae. The record is from RNAcentral.